Molecule: non-coding RNA, 452 nt
Organism: Anas platyrhynchos (mallard)
Lineage: Eukaryota; Metazoa; Chordata; Aves; Anseriformes; Anatidae
Source: RefSeq, a predicted model, not a curated record
UCCCAGCCUGUAGGAGCGGAGGAAACCUUUAGGAGCUGCAGGGCUGGUGGUAUUUUUGGCCCGGGUCGCAGAUCGAUUCCUGUCCACUCUUUCCCUGCCACUUGCAGGAAAGGGUCCCCCAGCGAGGAUGUAGAGAAGAGCUUGUAAAGACGUGGAGCACGGCGCUGCAGCCUCCCAUGCACCAGGGCUCUGAAAAUCACAAGACAACAGCACCUGAAAUGAUCUUGAAGGAACGAUGACCUGCUAGUCCUGUACACCAAACAUGAGGCACCCAACAUGCAAGUGAUUGCAGAUGGAAAAAAGUUACACAUCGGAGAUGACAAUGUUGAUCACGGUCUCAUCCUCCGUCCAGCCUGCUCCCACUCGCCACCACCUCUCCCCCCCUCCCACGCUCCCAAAGCCCCGCAAGGACAACCUGCGGCUCCAGCAGCUGCUGAAGAAGGCAGCCAAGA